RNAcentral lists this ribosomal RNA (118 nucleotides) under Pteropus alecto (black flying fox). The record is from RNAcentral. Lineage: Eukaryota; Metazoa; Chordata; Mammalia; Chiroptera; Pteropodidae.
GUCUACAGCCAUGCCACCCUGAACGUGCCUGAUCUUGUCUAAUCUCGGAAGCUAAGCGGGGUUGGCCUGGUUAGUACUUGGAUGGGAGACCACCUAGGAAUACCAGGUGCUGUAGGCA